AGAACAUCUUAGUCAGAUGGAAGACUCGCUAAAAGAGUCAAUUAUCCAAAUCCGUUUGCAAAAGGAGAAUUUUGGAAUGUGCCAACUUAUGCCUCUAGAAUGCAAUAGCCAGGUAAUGCACUGGCCAUGUAAUGAAAUCUUAGCUGAGGGAAAUCUCAUUGGAGUUGCUUGCCUGACAGUUUCAAAAUGGAAUGGCUUUACCUUUGAUGAUGAAUGGAAUGCAAAAGGCUCAACCAUUAUCAUGGCUUCCAAACAAUGGAAAUCAACAUCUGAUAUUGUCCAACGAGCAAAACAUUUCCCCCCAAAGAGAUAUAGAAUGCUCAACCAGUGCGUCCCUACCAGGCUAUUCUGGUUACUAUGAUACUGACAAACAUGUUGAAAUUGGAAUUCCAGGAGCACUAGAUAACCCAGGGCGGGAUGGUGGUGCAUUGAGCAAUUUAAGUAACAAUACAUGCUUAGGCGUACAAGUCAAUGAGCAAUUCUCAUGCCCUCCAUUUAGUAGUUUAAAUUU
RNAcentral lists this unclassified non-coding RNA (511 nucleotides) under Hevea brasiliensis (rubber tree). Lineage: Eukaryota; Viridiplantae; Streptophyta; Magnoliopsida; Malpighiales; Euphorbiaceae. The record is from RNAcentral.